AGCGAAGGGGUGGGGUGGGAUCUUGGUCCAGCUGGUACUGGAGCGGCGACAAUUUUGGCUAGUCUAAGAAGGGCAUUCGAGUGACCGUUGACAACGGGUGGGACAGCGUCAGAGCUGGAGGGAGAGCCAGCACUGUAUGCUUCCAGGACUUCUUGCUAGGUGCAUUAGUUUUUAUUUUUAAGAGUUGGGUAAAAGACAUUAAUUAGUUAGCAUCUCACUCAUCGGCGAUUUUCUACGGUAUGAUUUCAUCCAAAGAGGAUUUCUUAAUCGCACUGUGUGACACCGUUAGGGGACUUAGAGUGUCACUCGCCGCCUUAAAUCCUUUCGGGAACAAGCCAGGAUAUAAAUAAAUAAAGCUAGGUGUGGGUCUUCCCUUCACAAGGCGCUGGUAGGCAGACUAAAGACAGGCAACAGCUGAGUGUGCACACAGAACUAAAUAUUGAACGAAAUACGAGUGUCGGAAUAAAAUUCAUUGCCAUGUGCACGGCUUAUGAUUAUACAGAUCUUGGACAUAUCACGGACCUGAACGUCAACCCUGCAACACCGGAUAAAACAUCUAAUGUAGCUGGAAUAGACUCUGAAAGGACGUUAGGCAUUAUCUAAAUCAAGUCCCUCAUUUUACAGAUGAGUAAACUGACUCAGUGAAGUAUUUUGCUCAAGGUCGUUCAUCAAAUUAGUAGUUUAAUUAACUCAGUGUUCUAGGAAGCAGGGUAGUAGAAAAGCAUGGGAUUCGGAGUCUGAAAUCUUCCUUGGUUUCUGGUCCUUGUAGGCUGUUUUACAAGUGUAUCUUGGGCAAAUCCCUUAACGUCUUGCCAUUUAUUAAGGGCUUACUUACCACGUGGCAAACAAUCCACUUUGCAUGCUGUGUCAAUUACAUGCAGUAUGUCGUGUAGUUAUUACUGUCCCCAUUUUAUGAGGUAGUUUAGGUUUAAAGAUAUUAGAAAUUUACCCAAAGUUACGCAGUUAUAAACAUUGUAGUAAUUUCAAACUCAGGUCUUCGUGACUGCAAAGGCUGCUGUCUUAAGUAUUGUAAUACAUUAGAGCUCCGGAUUCCCUCCCACUCAAAACAGAGACUGAGACUCCAACCAAUUUCCACCAUUAUUGGGAGUCAAACGAGAGAGACUGUGGCAAUGUAUUCUAAGCUGUACAAAGGUAUAAACAUAUUCACUAGAUUUGUAGAAUGAAGUUAUUCCUUCCCUAUACUUUCCACUACAACAAUUCAGCCAAAAAGAUGGCUUUCAUACUAAGCAUAAGAAGGAACUUCACUGUAAUUAUGAUAUUCUAACCAAGAAUAUAUGCAUAUCUAGGCAAUAACCAAAGUGAAUAGAAUAAAAUUUAAUUCCUGAUAGAUUAAAUAGGCAAUAGCAAGGAAUGCUAACGCUCCUCAUAGCGUUCUUGUUGGAAGAAUCAUCUAGGAGGCAUUGGGAUUUCUGGUGCUUUUUAAGCAAUGAGAGAUAUCAGUCCACUGAAUGAGGAAGAGAAUAACGUUUAGUUUCGGACUAAAAGUUCAUCUGGACUACGGAAAACACGUUUGCCUCAAUCAGUGAAGAAGGUAUGCUGAGAGCUGAAAGAAAAGGAAAGCAGCAACAGUGAGAGCUCAGAAAUUCCCAGACUGUUUUGAUGAUAAGGUCCAAGAACUUGCCAUGUGAUCCAUCACUACUAGACUCCCACAACUGCAUUAGAUUUGUUCAGGAUUUUCAUAUAAUUUUCAUAACUGGCUAAGUUCUGAAAUAACCCAUCUUGAAGACAUAAACAAUGUGCAUUGAUGGCUAGCCAGACUCUGUCCUGCCACAGUUCUCCUCCUACUCUUCAUUUCUUACCCCAAGGAGUAGUAAACAUGAAUCCUGACCCACCAAUGCAGUCCCAGAACUGAGAAAAGAUUCACUGCAGCUAAACACAUUGGAAAUGGAUGGGGAGAAGGCCUGAUGAAAAUUACUGAGGAAGCCUCUUAGCCUAUGUGCUCUGAGAGUAGUGACACCUAGCAGUCGUUCAAAAGAUGAUCAAGAGGAGCAUGAAAAAAUCCCCUGAAUCCAUUGGCUUUCUUCCCUAUACUGACAACAGUUUACUUGUGUAAGAGAUGCAUGCCUCGACUCCGGACCCCUUCUUUCAUCUGCAAAAUCAGCAGCACCCUCACAUCAUCUCCUGUAACAAACUCUCUCUGUCUCCUCCAUAUAAGGUCACUGAUGGUUACAUUUAGGGUCCAUGAUAUAAGAAGAUGGAUGUCUAUUGCUUUUCUCUUGAUAUUCAUGGCACUGCUCCUCUCCAUCCAUAGGAUUAUCUUAUAGAUGAGGGUCUCAUCCUUUUGCCCAGGCUGGAGUACAG
This 2322-nucleotide long non-coding RNA is filed under the name Homo sapiens (human). RNAcentral describes it as "HSALNT0375905". The record is from RNAcentral. Lineage: Eukaryota; Metazoa; Chordata; Mammalia; Primates; Hominidae.